Non-coding RNA from Rattus norvegicus (Norway rat), 7259 nucleotides. The record is from RefSeq and is a predicted model, not a curated record. NCBI's taxonomy places the organism in Eukaryota, Metazoa, Chordata, Mammalia, Rodentia, Muridae.
UGGAGCUGGGGAGAAAGCACAGUUUCACAGUGUGUCUUGUGUGACAUUAGGAUCCCUAGAACCUACUUUAAGAGAGUUGGGUAUGUUUGCCUGCCCAUGUAAUCUCAGGACUAGGAGGUGGGAAUAGAUGGAAAAGGUCUGUUCACCAGCCUAGCCACAGAUCACUGAGAGACCCUCACUCAAGGUUGUCUUGUGGCUUCUAUAGCCAGUACAUGCAUGGAUGCAUGUAUUUAUAUACACAUGCACGCAUGCGCACACACACACACACACACACGGAGCCACAUGAUAUAGGCUAUAGGCUAUAUGUAAGAGAAAUACAUGCUCUUAAUGACUGAUCCCUCACUAUAGCCCCACAAAUGAAUUUAUAUAUGAUAAUGUUAUUUAACUAUCUACUUAUUUUAUCUAAAACUGAAGUUAUAAAUAUGUUUGUAAGAACUCUGGUACCCAUGAAAGACUAUUUAGGAGGGAUGAGAUAAGGAGGCAGAAAGUUCAUGUUCAGUUUAUACUACUGAAUAACAGUGUCUUAGUUGAGAGAAAAGUAUUUUAAAAUUAUGAUGCAUGGUAUCAAGGAAAGAUUCAGAUAAGGCAAAAAUGAAGCAAAUAUGGUUGUUGAAUUGUUAAUAAGAUAUUCUUUGGAUUUAUACAGAGGGAGCUUCCUGCAAUCCCGACUAUCUGAUGACCUGAGAUAAACCACCAUUUUUGUUAAAGUGUCUACUAAAGAAUACUUUAAAAAUGCUAUGAAAAGUGCUUGGAUUAACUUACAGGAUUUUAAACCUUGCUUGUUCAAAUAUACCUGGGUAUGAAAAGCCCAAUGGGCCAAUGUUCAAGUUUGAACCUUAAAGAUUUUUGUUCUAUUGAACUGAGCUAAGUAUCUAGAGCUUCAAUCUAGAGUAAAAGCUACAAAACUUUUAGCACCCAAGAGUGUGUGAAUCUAUAGUUCUGAAUUCAGUUCUGUCUCGAGCACACACCCACAGCCAUGCUUGUUUGUACACACUGCAGUUUUAUCUGGACUCUCCUUCCAGUCUCAGAACUUUUCUCAGGAAGAUUGACUUUUCAACUAAUACACCAGAACUCCAGCAGUCAGCAUGUAAAUUCCAUGUAUGAACUAAUAGGGAUGUAAGAGAGGGAAGAGAAAUAUAGACAUAUCUACAAGUCCAUCAGAAUUCUAACUGCCUAAAAACAGUCUAGUCUCUCUUUCAAAAUGUUUAACAGCAGUGUUACUGGGUGAUUACUAACCUUUAACUUUUCCCCAUCUUUCAACACAAUUCAGCAAACACAGAAAGAUGAUGAUACAGUGAGGACGCUCAGUACAAUGCUCCAUGAUUAUUUACUGAAUGAGUUAAGCUGGUCCUCAAUACAGCUGACCAUUGGAAGAACUAACCAAGCAAAGUUCUUGCAGCUCAUGCUUUGCUAGGGACAGGUCCAGAGCACAUUUAAUAGUGUCUCUAUGCAGAGCUUCUAAGGUUUGGCCAAGUGGAAGAAUAUGCCUACAAAUUGGCCUGUGCAUGGUUCUUCUAUUUAGCUAGAUGACUGCACUUUCAUUCUGCAAGGGUUUAAGUGAUGAAGAAGAAAAUUUAAACGUGAGCUUGAAGAAGAAUGAGAAAAUUGCUAUGUUAAAACUUCGUGAUUUAAUGCUUUGAUGACCUGUGUCCUGAACAGGAGCUAUGAGACAGAGAUGGAUGACCAAACCCUCUGGUUCUUCCUAUGCACUGUGAGUUAUACUUAGUGCACUACGGCAAGUCAGGACCAUCAUCUGCAACAAUGACUUGGAAUGCAGCCAGCCCGGUGCAUAGAUUGCGACACUGCAGUUCUGAAGAUAAGAAGAGGUGACAAUGGAAUACCUGAGCAUAGGUAGUUUGAUGAGGUGAUAUGGAGACAGUCACAAGCCGGGAGGAUAUACACACCUCUACAGUAUGCUGCGGGACCGUGUCAGUGGGCACUGACACGGAGAAAAAUGGACUGCUGGGAACAGAAGGAGUCUGGCAGACUGCUUGGACAUGGCACAGUCAGAGAAAGCAGCCUCAUGUCAAGGCAAACUAUCAAGCAAUCCUGAUGAAGAGUAGACUCCCAGAAUCCUGGCUUCUUAGCCCUCCAUCCUAAGCCAAGAGAAACAAGGCAAUCGCCAUGCUUACAUUGGAGAAAGAAAGCAGGCACGUGCCAUCGGAGUCAGAUGAGGUGGCUUUAUAUUGAUGUAUGUCUCUGUAGAUGGGGCCCUGCAGUUAGUUUUUAGCAAGUUUUGUUGUCCUGUGGGCAGUGGUAAUGGACCUGGCUAUAUCUGCAGGCUUCACACGUAGGCACACUGAUAAACACCAAUAGAGUUUUUGCUCCUAAUAACGCCUAAAAUUCCUCUAUGUGACAGUGCACAGACUGUUCGAUAUAUGCACUAUGGUAUACUCUGUUAAUAAAAUGUCUUAAUAUAAGUUUUCAGGAAGAGUACUUUUCCAGCAUUCAAUUAUUUCUAUGAUUACUGGCAAAGGAAAACACUGCAGAGGGCUGUAUUUACGAACUAAAUCACCAAGGAGGUUAGUGACGGCUUGCAGGCUUAGUCAGAUGAGUCUUGUAAUUUUUCAGAUGUUGCUGCUUAAAUCACAGUGUUUUUAAGAGGCUCAAAAGUGAUGUUAGAUAUAGGCGUGACUUGUAAUCCAUCAUCACCACACACCCAUAGAACAAGCUUUAAAGGGUAAUCAAGAGGGCUUUCCACAAGUGUUCAUGGCAGAAUUACUAUACUCUCGCUUCUACUCUUCUGGGCUUUAAAAGACUAUGAUAUGCUUCAUGUACAAUCACUUAAACUAAGGCAAAUAAAAAGUGGCUUUAAUGAUAAGUUACCCAGCUGCAUUUCCAUUAAGGGAACAAAGGGGUACCCCAACACCAUGGCUGACUCCUUAUUUAUAGCUUCCGGAAUGUCAUCUUCCUACUCAAAGCUAAAAUCUUCCCUGGUUAGCUGAUUUAGACCCUGAUGCAUCUGAAAAUGACAAGACUUACAUGACUAAGCCUACAAGCCUUUUGUAACUCUCCUGGCGAUUUAGUUCAUGGAAUACUGAACAGUAAGGCUGGCCAUCCUUUAUUAACUGCAGUGACUACAAAGGACACAGCAGUGGCUUUGCUCUGCACCUUCAGAGAGCCAACACCGCCUUUCUAGCCCAUCACUGCUUCAUGUCGAUAAGCAAAACCCCAGCAAGAACUCUGAACAGAGAAGUAACUCACUUGUUCCUCCUUCAGAGCCUGGUUUUGUUUGAUUUCAUAGUCAGAAGGAGAGCAGGAAGAGGCGACUAAACAAAGUUUCCUCCUUUCCUAAUGUUAUUUCGUUUUUAAUCAAAGUUCCUGUCCCAGUGAAGUCAUCUUCAUGUGUUUCCUCCUUAAUUUUGUUUCCCUUCCCAUCCGCGUGGAAUUGGUAAUGCACUCAACUGUGAGUUAUUGACUCUCAUCUUUCAAAAUGUCUGCCGCAGUGAGUGGAGUCCCUCCUGUCAUUACUCUUGCUGCAGCCAUUAGAUGUUCAGCUCUGGUGAAUUAAACACAAGGAGCCACAUGAGAGAACACUCUGUUUCCUGGUAGAGGUGUCAGUCUGAAUUGGGGACACCAGCUAUCCGGACAGUGUGCAAAGCAGAUGGCCAUCAAUAAAGGAAGCUGUGCUUUACCUGUUUCUUUUGAUGACCACCUGCAAACGGGGGAUCUUCCUGAGAGGAGACAGAUAAAGGAUGUGAAAUUUCAAAGAGCAGCGGAUGACUGAAUUUGAAAUGAGAUUCCCAUCCAAAGUGUCAGGGCAAUUGGCAGAAAUGCGACUUGGAAGACAUCUGCAGAUUGCAGUUUAUAAAUCUUGCAAUUGCAGAGUAUCGAGGCACAUGUCCCGUAGAUAGAAGGAUCCACCAGACUCUUCUUAAAAUUCCUCUGGGUCAGAACCAAUGGAGAAUCACCCAGGGUUUAGGACCCCUUUCUGCUGUUACCCACUUUUGCCCCCUUCCUUGAACAUGGAUGCUUGGUAUCCUAUCCUUUAAAAUCUGUUUUCUCCUGGUUGUUUACCCUGGAUAACACUGUGGAUGUUAGUAUAAAUAACAUUUACCAGAGCUACAAACUUUAAUGUUUUAAUGUUCGCUUAGUUUAUUUUUAAACGCCAACAGAAAGUGUUCUGGCUAGUUUUUUUGUUAGCUUGGAAACAGCUUUAGUCAACUGAGGAGAAGGAACCCCAAUUGAGAAACUGCCUCCAAGUAAGGCUCUAGGCAGGCCAUUCUUAUAUUUUUGGUUGUGAGCCUAGCCUUUAACGGCUGAGCCAUCUCUCCAGCCCCAUUAGGAUAUUUUCUUAAUUAGUGAUUUGGGAGGGGGCAAGCCUGUUGUGGAUUUGGCCUUCCUUACGCUGGUGGUCCUGAGUACUAUAAGAAAGCAGGUCUAGCAAGCCACAAGGAACAAGCCAGUAAGCAGAACUACUCCAUAGCCUGUGAAUCAGCUCCUGCCUCCAGGUUCCUUCUUGAUUUGACUUCCUGUCUUGGCUUCCCUCAGUAGAUUGUCAUUCAGGAUAUAUAACCAAAUAAAUAUUUUCUUCUUCAAGUUGCUUUAGGGCAUGAUGUUUUUGUCAUCAUCAUCAUCAGAUUAUUAUUAUUAUUAUUAUUAUGAUUAUGAUUAUUAUAGUUUUUGGAGACAGGGUAGCACUGGCUCUCCUAGAACUCACUCUGUAGACCAGGUUAAUCCCUGAGUUCUGGGAUUAAAGGUGUGCACCACCACUGUUGGGCUCACCACAGCAUUAUUAACCCUAAGACAGGAAGCUUAUUUUUCUAACUGAAUUAAAAAACUUAGCCUAGUUUGAUUAAUGAGAAAUAAUAUAAUUUCACUCUGACUCCAGAAAUCAUGCACACACACACACAUCUGACUCCAGAAAUCAUACACACACACACACACACACACACACACACACACACACACACACACACACACACACAGUGGGAGCCCUUUUAGAAGUUAGACCUGUAAUGGACUACUAGAAAUGGAAGACUAAUUUGUUUUGAAUACCAUCUUGGGAAGGAAUGAUGAGAAAGUAUUUGUUGCUAAAUAAGAAGUGAGCAGUAACAUUUUACUGUACAAAGUCCUGCUAGCUUGCCAAAACUGACACAGUAAACAAUUCAAUCACUCAUCAAGCAGCGUAAGGAGAGGGCAUCGUCACCAGAUUGCUGCACAUAAUUUGAUGGAUAGUCUAGGUAUUCAUUUGCCAAACAAAUGCCUGGUAAGGCAAUAUCUUAGUCCAUAAGGAUAAAAUUCUCAGGUAAUCUCAACAGGUCUUGUCUUUCAUGGUGCUUAGUCUAAUCAUUUAAGCAAUUUAAUGAUUGCCAUGAUCAAAUCAUGUUUUUAAAGAAAAACAUUCAGUAUUUGAAAUAAAAGUUUGACCUGAUAUGAUUGUUCAGUAGGUGAAAGGGUUUGCUGUUAAACCUGCUGACCUGAGUUGGCCCCUUGUAUUUCAUGGUAGAAAAGCAAAGCCAACUUCACAAAGCUGUCCUUUGAUCUCUCGCCACUGCACCCACAGAUAACUGUUGCCUUUGGUUCUAAUAUGUACAGGACUCAUUCAAUGGAGGUGUGGUGGCUUGAGUAUGCUUGGCUCAGGGAGGUGUGGCCUUGUCAGAACAGGUGUGGCCUUGUUGUAUGAAGUGUGGCACUUUAAAGGGUGGGCUGUGAGACUCUCUUUCUAGCUCUCUGGAGGCCAGUCAUUCCCUGUUUGCUUUUGAAACAAGAUGUAGAACUGUCAGCUCCUCCUGCAUCAUGCCGGCUUAGGCACUGCCAUGCUUCUGCCUUGAUGAUAACAGGUUGAACCUCUAAACCCAUAAGCCAGCCCUGAUAAAAUGUUGUCCCUUACAAAAGUUGCCUAUGUUAUGGUGUCUCUUCAUAGCAAUGAAAUUCUAACUACAACAGGAUUGUGCAAUAAAAGAAAUCUCCCUCUCUCUCUCUCCCACUCUCCCUCUUUCUCUCCCUGCCUCUUCUCUUCACUCUUUUCUCUUCUUUCUCUUGCCUCUUCUCCUUGUCUCGUUCUCCCAUUAAAUCUCUCCACAUGGAAAAAAAAAUCUCCACAGUGUUAGCCAUUUCAGUUCAGUAGAGAGCUCCUAACUUGCAAGCAAUUCUCAUGGUGGUCCCUGCUAAUAAAGAGAAUGCUACCCAAUUUCAGAAUCUUGCUGAGGUUAGACCAUUUAACCAACAGGAUAAAAAGUAAUUUCCUUGUGAAUUCCCUAUUUCUCUUCCUGCUUUGGAAGCAAAGGAUUUCACAUUCUAAACAGCAUCUGAACACUCAUUGCCUAGUUCUACGCUUCUUUGAUUAGCAUUCCUUUUGAACUCAUACUAAUUAAGAAUUAAUCUUAUUGACAUGGGGAACCUCUACGAAGUGACAUGCUUUUCUUAUUCCAUCAACCUUCCAUUACUGUGCUUUCAUUGCUAUAUUCAACCAUGUGCUAAACUUCCCGGAAAUAAUUUGUGUGAAUGGCCAAUAAGACAGGAGGAUGAAGUAUUUUAUCCCUUCAAAUACUGUCACUCUAAUCCUCUGAAGAUCCUUUCUGGUCCUGAGGGUGGCAGUGUGCUGCAUUGAAUUGCUCUCUAGAGAUGAAGCCCUCACUAUCCCAUCUGCCAAGCACAUUGGCAGCAGUGGUUCAAAGAAAAGAGCCCCUCUGCUGGCAUUGUCUAUGAGGGAAGGAACUGCCUUCUCCAAGGUAUGCCUCCUCUCCAUGGCUGCAGGUUUCCACCCAGUGACUGGUAACUGUGGGGCAGGAGGACCAGAUCCCCUUUCCAAGUUUUAGGACUCCUCUUAUGAGCUAUCUGGGUCAAAAGUGACAAGAUGAGGCUCCUGCCUUGAGACAGGUUUGCUAAUGAGCUCUCCCUCUCUUGAACAUUGCUUCUCUUACUAUCUUACUACUGCCAAUUCCCAAACGCUGUCCCAAACUCUGCGUUCAUAGGCUCCCUAGGAGUCUGUCUUCAGUGAUAUUAGUAAAGACUGCAAUUAGACUAUUACCUGUUGUUUAAUAUUGAAACACGCUUUUUAAUCACUCAAUAGAGAAACCAAUUUUAUAAACCAAAUACUCCAAUUUGACAAAAUUCAAUGUUACGUUUAACACAGAAUAUGUAUUUGAGUUACUUGGGUCAACAACACAUGUGAUCCUUUUUCCAAAUGCUACACACAUAUUUUGGAAUAGGAAGGAGCUAACAUAAUUUAUAAAGAGAAGAAUUCAUGUAAGAUAUGAUCACAAUAAACAUUGCUAACUUUUGUAUGAAUAAACAUUUGUCCUCUCUCCAUUAAA